Molecule: long non-coding RNA, 1562 nt
Organism: Gallus gallus (chicken)
Lineage: Eukaryota; Metazoa; Chordata; Aves; Galliformes; Phasianidae
Source: Ensembl
AGCUGAUCCCAUACACUGCUGCGAGUGUGAAGUGAGAAGGCCUGGGAGGAGACAAAAGAUUCAUAAAUCUGUAAUCCUCGGAGAAAUUACCGGGGGGGAAAAUAGGUCAGUGUACAUACAUGUACUCCCCUUUAAAUAACAGUUGUACCACGUCUGUUGCAGAAUUCCCAGAUCUUGUACCUCUGUGUGGACAUUAAGGCACAUCCAAAGCUGUCAGCACCACGCUGAGCUCCCCAAAGCACGGACCUCCCCUGCUCCCGCCUGUCCAAUACAGCAUCCCGCUGCCUGGUACCCUUGCUGGACUACUUAGCAGAGGGAACAUAGCUCUGUAGGAGACGACCAGUGAAAACAAGAAAGGCCACUCUGACAAAGACUCCAUUAACUGAAGUCUGUAUGCAUUAGCAGGAUUUUCAUCACUCUUCAUUUGUCCCAAGAUAAAUUAAAAAUGUGAACACUGUGGUGACAUUCCACUCCAGCCACACGCUACCAUAAAAGAGGAGACCAAUACUAUCUCUUUCCUCCAGUGCAAGAGGGACACGGAGCUGUAGGAGCAGGUCCAGAGGAGGGCCAUGAAGAGGAUAAUCAAAGGACUGGAGCACCUCUCCUAUGAAGAAAGGCUCAGGGAGUUGGGCUUGUUUAGCUUGGAGAUGAGAAGGCUCCACAGAGACCUCAUUGCAGCAUUCCAGUACUUGAGGGGAGGUUACAAGCAGGAGAAGGACUGAUUUUUUUUUUUUACACAGUCUGAUAGUGACAGGACAAGCAGGAAUAGCUUUAAGCUAAAAGAGGAGGGGUUUAGAAGAAAUUAUUUACUUGUGAGUAAUACAAUACAUGUCUGGUGCUGGCACAGGUUGCCCAGAGAAGCUGUGGGUGCCCCAUCCCUUGAGGGGCUCAAGGCCAGGUUGGAUGGGCCCUGGACAGCCUGAGCUGGUGGGGGGAAGCCCUGCAGGGCUUGGGACUGGAUGAUCUUUAAGUCUUUUCCGAUCUAAAUCAUUUUAUGAUUAUGAUCUCUCCUACCACCAAUGCCUGUCAACAUUCACCUUGAAACGUGGUCACAUUUUGAUGGAUAAGCCAAUAGACAGAUCUUCGGACAGGUUCCUUCAAGUUCACAAAUGCUCAAGGUAGCAGAGCAUCUCAGGUUGCUCUCAUGUACCCCUAACAAACACAAGCAAUUUUAUGAGAACACUAAUCCUUCUUUCUCAGAGACCCUGCAUUACGUCGCUCUUUCACUUCCCUUUGAUACCAUUUGAGAUAAAUACUCUGUAUUCAUGUAGCAGCAAGAGAUCUUUACCCUUUGACAAGUCUUUUUCCAUCAAUACAAUCUCCAAAUUAUUCUCAUUUGAUGCUCAGAUGCAUUACCUUAAAUAGGCUUACGUGGCAGAACUUGGAAGAAUAACAGAAGAUACCGACUACUUACGUAUAUAGAUAUAUCUAUCUAUAUACACACACACACAAAUCAACAACAGAAAUCAUGUCAUUAAUAAAAAAUAGGGAUUUCAAUAUUGUAAGUAUGCAAAUAACUGGAGCUUAAAUCUUUCCAGAAAAACAAGAAUAAAGGUCACUUG